AAUGAGGGUCUCUUUCCAUUUCCAUGCGAUUCCCCUUUUCUCUCUCUUUCCCUCCCAUCUCGUGCCUCUGUUUAAUGUCAAUCUUUUCUUCCUGCUCUUCCUUAAUAUAUAUUUCUUAAAAUGAGUUUAUUCUAUUGCACUGUUAAUUCUGAAGAGCUGAGGCAAAGAGAUGGAAACAAAUAAGGAUUUCCUUAGAAAUUUUAUGCAUUGCAGAUACUGUUCAUACUCCAUUAUAUGACUGUUCUGGUACUGCUUCUAUAGCUGAAGGCUGAAGGCUUUGUCAUCUAAACCAAUUUACUUUUUUUUACCCAAUUCCCUUGCUUCCAGAGGUUCUUCAAUAUAUCUUUCUGGUGUGGCAGUUGUGAAGACAUGAUAGAACUUAUUCUUUUUUUUUUUUUAAAUCUGAAGUUGGCAUUUUAAAAACUGUUAGAGAAGACACAAAUGACAUCAGAUGAAAAUAUUUAGAGCAUAUUAUACAACAAUAAAAUGGAAACUUCCCAUUGUUAGGCACUGGGCAAAAGAUAUUUUAUAAUUUUUUAUUGGUGCAUGAUAACUAUAAUGAGGGGAUCUAUUAUGCUGUACAUGUACAAAACAAAAUUUGGUCUAUUUAUUCUCCUGGGUUCAUAAAAUUUGUUGCAUACCUUUUUAAUUGUAUUCUUCUAUACCUUAGGCAAACAAAAAAGCUAAAAGUAUUUGUUUUUCCUUACAAUGAUCUUUGCAAUUAAAACCUUACAUAUGUAAUACUUGCAAGCAUAUACAGCAAAUAUAUUCUUUUUUCCCUCUUGUUAGUAUUGUAAAACAUUUCUAAAUCUUCAAAUUUUAUUAUAUUUUUAGGAAAUAAUAAGCUUAUGAGUCUAGGGAAAUACUUGGGAGAAUUGUGGUGGCAUAAUAGUAUUUCAGUGCAGAUAUAAUAAUUGAAUGACUAAUGUAUAUGAGUUUCUUGUAUUCUACAAGAGUCAGAAUGAAAUUAAUCAUGUAUUACUUUUCAUUCUUUUUAUUUGUAUUGUUUUAAUCUUUCCUGAAAUCUAAUUAGAGAAACAUAAGCACAUUGAUUUUUAAUGAGUUUAUUAGGAUGUUUUAAAAAUGGUUUCUUUGAUAAAACAGCUGUUUUCCUAGGGGAAAUUUGCAAAAACACAUUUGGUAAAUAUAGUCUUAAAUGUUUUAGUAUGGAAUAAAUUAUAUGUUCAUUUUUUCAGUGUUUAAGAGUAAUAAAGAAGGAGAUAUUAAAAUGCUUUAUAUAUUAAUUAGAAGAAGCAUUUUUAAAGUACAUUUGAGAAUUCACUCUAUGCAGUGUCUCAAUGUAACUGUUUUCUGACAUUUUCUUGAUUAAAUAUAGAGAUUGUUAGCCAUGAGUUUGAACUAUAUAGAAAGAUGACUAAAGAAAAGACUACCUUUGAAUUCCUUUUAAUCAAAGGAAUUCAAAGGUAGUCUUUGAAUAAACUUUGGUAUUAGACUUUAGUAUUCUUUUUCCAGGAAUACUACAUGCACAGAACUGUUAAAUGCAGAACUCCAUUUAUCUGCUUAUUUAUUUAUUUAUUAGUUGUUGAUGGACCUUUAUUUUAUUUCCUUAUUUAUAUGUAGUGCUGGGGAUCAAACCCAGUGCCUCACACAUAUGAGGCAAGUGCUCUACUGCUGAGCUAUAACUCCUGUCCCAUGAGCUACAACUCCAGCCCCUGGAAUUUUGUUAAGUCUGCUAUAUGUGUGGAACUCAUGGAUAUAUCUAUGUUUUGCAAAUGUCUCACUGUUAAAUGUCUAUGAUAUGAGCUUUCCUUUUCAUGAUGAAGUUGCAGAAGAGAUCAACCUUUAUGAACACAUUGACAACCAGGUGGGCUUUGUAUGACAGAGGUAUCUGUAUGCCACACAAAACUGUUAGGGAAUAUUUCUAAUAAGAAAAAUGUCUGAUAUUUUGCAUUUGAGGAAUGAUUAUGAUUCUGUUUAUUGCUUAGAGGGAUUGCUAAAGUACUUUAAAUUUAGCAAAUUUAAGAUAUGGACUUAAUAUAUAAGGAUGGAGUUUUAGCAGCUGGCCCUAUGUUCAGAGAUGGUUUUUAUAUGACUUCCAUGUGAAAAGAUUGAAAGAGUCAUUGGAUCACUGCCCUCAAUUUUUCGAUUUUGGUAUAUGAUAGGAAAUGUUCUUAUAAUAUAUGUAGCAUAUAUAACUAUAUAUCUACCUGUAUGGAUAUGAGUGAUACACACAUAUAUUCAUGUCAUAUAUACAUGGUAUAUAUGCAAGUUUGGGUUUACAUUUUUUUUUGUUUUCAGUUGUUAUGUAUAUGUUCACAUGUUGUUUACAUUUGUAGAUGUGGAGAAUUUUCUGUCACAUUUUGUGAAUAUAUUUUGCAUAAAAUAAAUAGGAUAAAUAAAAAAAUAAAAUAAAUUAUAGGACAGAAAGUGGUUUUUUUUUGUUAAUUGAAAUUCAAUUAACAAAAUGCAAAAACCCAAGCCUCUAUUUAGAAGGAUUUUUACACAAAUAUGUAUAUAUAGUUAGUACGUUUUAAAACAUGUUUCAAGAAAUGUAUGACUUCUGAAAUCCUUCUUGCAAUUAAUCAAUCCAUAUUUCUGUGUUAUGAAUCAUUAUUUGUGAUUAGAGUCAUUUUGUAAAAUGAUUCAUUAUCUUUGCUCUUAACUUCUUUUGCCUUUUUUUGUCUGUGAGGAGGCAUGAACACACUCUGUGUUGAGCUAGAAUUAACUAAAUGUCAGCAUCACAUCUGUGUGUUCAUGUGUGUGGACGCAUGAAUGUGUAGUAUGUGGAUGUGUGAGUAUAUACAAAAAGUAUACAUUUAUAUGUUUUGAACAUUUUCCCCCAGAAUGUCAUUGCUGAUGCAUAUACAUUUUGGAAAAUAACCUUUUUAAAUUAAUACAGCCAUGUACUUUUGUACAUAUUAAAAUUUAUUGUUGGAAGGUAUAUGGAAAGGAUGGAUUUUUUUUAUGAUCACAGUUUCAUGUACAUGUACAAUCCUUUUGCUUACUUCUGUUUUUGUUUUGGUAGAGAUGGUGAACAUUUAUAUAUUGCAACCAUUACUUUGUUAAACUGUUAAACUAGUUGAAAUAUAAAUAAUUAUAAAUGACUUUAACAGCAUUAGGUGGUUAGCUUUUGGGGGUUUAUUUAAUAUCUGUAAUAGAUGCUUUAUAAUAUUUCAUCAUUUUUAGAUGCAUGUGAGUUGAUAAGAAUUAGAAAAAGAAGAAAUAUUUUUCUUUUAAUGGUAAAGUAUUAUUUUACCUUUUGGAAAAACGUGAAUAUAUUUCUGUGGUUGUACAAAUUACUUGUAUAUUCCAUUGACAAGCUUCUGUGCUUGCAUGUUAUUAGUAUAUAUACUGUCCUGUUAGAGAAUAUAGUGGUAUUUUACCACAUUUACAAGUAAAAUUAGAUUAUCAUUCCAGGGUAUCCAUUUAAUGUAAAUACAAUGUGUCUAUGUAAUAGAUAAGUAGACAUAUCUUAUUUUGCUAAACUUACGUUCAUGAUGCAAUUCUUUCUUCUUACAUGUUUUAUAGAAUUUCUAAAUUUUGUGGUUCUUUUUUUUUUUACUACAUGGCAAAAAACCACAACUUUAUAAAUAAUGGGGAAAUAAUUUUUUUAUUUCAAACAUGUAUUUCUAGCGUCUCACAAGUAUAAAUUUUGUAAAUCCACAAAAUUAGUAGUGCUAUGGUCAUUUUUGGUUAAUGUGGCAGUUAAAUUGGUUAUUCAUAAGUAGCUCUUAGAGCUAGAAAAAUUUAUCAUAUAUUAAUAUAGAUGUUAGAAGGAGAAAAUAAGAAAAUCGGAAGACACUAUGCAAUUAAUUCCAUUUCCAUGGAAGUCUACAGUUUGCCAUGUCUGAAUUGCAUAUUUAAAAAUACUCAAAUGAAAUAACAGUUAAAUCCAGUCGUCUUUUCUGGAUGUUCCAAGCUUCCUUAUAUCUUUUUUUCCCCUUUACUGUCAACAUUCAAGAUAUAAAUGAUUAAAGAGAGUUUGUACUACCUCUUGGAACUAUACAAUGUUCUGUAUCUGUUCCCUUGGUUGCAUGACAAUAUUCAAGACAACUUUGUAAAUAAUGGUAAAGCCAAAAUUUUAAUUUUCAACAUCUAGUUGUCCUUCUAGAUGUAUAGAGUCUCACAAAGUAUAAUUUUGUAAAUAAGUCAUUGUAAAAUUUCAUGAUUUGAUUGUUCUUUGAAAUUUUUUGCCAAUGAAAUACACAAAGUUGUGGGUUUUAUUAAAUAUCUGUUUAUUGAGUUAUGGGAAGGAAAAGGUUAAAAUAUGUGUAUUUUAAGCUUUUGAGUUUCCAUCAAAAGAAAAAAAAAUACAUUUUAACCAUAGUUAUUUGCUUGUAUUAUAUACUUAAAACUUCAUAAGUUUGUAGUUGUAUUGCUACAUUUUAAUAGUAUUUUUUAUAAGCAUUGUAGAAAAUGCCUUUUAUAAAAAAAAUUUCCUUCUACCUCUUCGACCUAAUAUAGUAUUAUAUGUUCUUGGACUGCAUGACAAAAUUCAAGACAACUUUGUAAAUACCAGUUACCCUUGUCAUUUGAAAAUAACUAGUUUUGCCAGGUGCUCUGGGUCUCAAGAAAGUAUAAAUUUGUAAAUAUUUCAUUGUAAAACUCCAUAGUUAAAUUGAUUGCUGUAAAUGCUUUUACAGUCCAUUGGUUAAUUAAUAUAAAGACAAACAUUUUGCUGUUUUGUGAGAGAGCAAUAGGUAAAUUGUGUCUGCAUCUCCUCAUUGAUCAGGAUCAUUGCUGUUUGUGUGAAUUAUAUAUUUAAACAAUUACCCUGGCAUACAGUUUGACCUGAGGUACCAAGUAGAAGAUAUGAGAAGGAAAUUCCCAUUUUAAAAAAGAGAGAAUUAAAAAGAUUGGUACAAUUAUUGUUACCUGGUUAUAUUUAUUCUCUGCGAAUUUACUUGCAUGUACAUGCCUUUGAAAUCAUGUUUUAGUUAAAUAGUUGGGAUAUUGCUCAUUCCAGCUUUUCUCAUUUGUUUAAUGAUUUAUAUUUUAUUUUACUUUAAUUUUUAUAUUUUUGCUUUGGAUUGUUCCCAGAGACUCAUGAAUGAUAUAGGCUUGUGCUCUGCCACUACGCUAUAGCCCCAGGCCUUUUUAUUUUACAAAUGAUGAAACUUUUAUUUUUUAGCUUGAACAUACUUCUAGAAUCCAAUUUAUUAUUAUUUCUAACUAUAAUUUUAUAGUAAUACUAAGCUCUAUUACUUUGAAUUCCAAAUCUGUUUCCAUGUUUGUAUAUCCCUGUGAGAACAAAACAACAAUAAUUAUGAAUAGUUUGUUUUUUCUGAUAUUAUUUUUGAAAUUUUCUUGUGACCUAUAUAUAAUUCAUGUAUGUGAUAAUCAAAGACAAGUCAUGUUACCUGUUACAUAAAGAAGGAUUUUUUUAAAAUAAAAAUUCUGGUGUUGAUCAAAGUAUAGAUCCUCAUUUUUUGAAUAGAAUUUGGUAUAGAUCAUCAAAUUCUGUGGGUAUCAAAUAUUUUAAAUGUAAUAAUUGGCUAUUGGAAUAGCCAAUUUCCAAAUGUUGGAAUACUUAAACAUUUGCUAGGAAGAAAGUAUUAUGUGUUUACUUUAAAAACAUAAUGUAAACAACUGAAGUAUCAACCAUUGAAAGAAAGAUUGUAUUUAUUAUAGCUUACUCAACAUCAAUGUAACUUUUGCACAGAAAUAUUUCAAUAUUGAUGUAGGUUUUGAAGUAUUUUGAGUUGAACAGAUAUUGAAUAAUUGUUUGUUAUAGAUUUGAAUGCUUAUGCCUCUUUGUCCUAGCUGAAGUAUUAAUGGUUAACUAUAAAAUAUUUAUAACAUUUUGGAAAUGAGAUUUUUAUAGUGAGGUAAUAUUUCCUAUUGUUAAAAUGUUAUUUUAUAAUUCUGUUGGCAUUUUUAUAUAUGAGUUAAAAUUCCAAAGAUCCAUCCACAUUUGUAAAUUGCUACAUGCAAAAAAUCUAAAAUGAAUAUGUCUAAUGGAAAUAAAAAAGUUGUCUGGAAGAAUAAGGUAAAAACUUACCAGUCCUCUGUAGAGAGAUGAGAAUAGAAGGAGUGUUUCUUUUGUCUUCUUUUAGUUUUUAUAAAGGUAUUAAAACAUGAACAAUUAAACAAGAAAGAAGUGUUAAGGAGACAGUUUGUACUUAUUUUCAUUCUUGCAACUCACCAUCGUUGGAGCAUUUGGUUGUCAUAUCCAGCUUUGUCUUCCCAGAGUCCUUUGUGAAUGAUUUUUUUCAAUGAUUUUAUGAAGAGUAUGCAAUUUAAGAGAAUAAAUAGUAUUGGAUUAUCCAAGAAAAGAAGGAAGAAGAUGGAAUUAUAGGUAUUCACAAUGAGAGAUAUAUUGAAGGUAACUUGAGUACAGGUGAUGAAAUCAUCUUCCUUUGGAGUCCUUAAUUUUUACAACUUAACUGCAAAGCAUAGGUAAGAAGAUUCUGGUGCCAUUUUCAGAUGAUAGUUUCAAGAAAGAAUACUUCUGUCAUCCUUGGUUUUAAUCCUGUGAAUGAUAUGUACUAGCAAUGAAAGAUCUGUUGGAGUAAUUUAAUUCAUGUGUUCUUCACUCCUAUCUCUCACUUGGCGGGAAUUACUGGAAAGAAAUGCAUGCCAUUGUUUUUACCACCUUCUUCCUCAAAACUAAAAUAUGUUCUGCAUAAUGAAUGAAGACUUUAUACUUAAUGUGUGUUGCAAUGGACACUCCUUGCUCAUCAGAAGAACUGAACUCAGAAAGCUUGUUUUUGAAAAGAGACCUAAAAUAUAGCCCAGAAAAUUCUAAUACUUAGUUGUAUUAAUUGUCUUUAUUGUUACUGUUGGACUUUAUCUCAGGAAGUGCAAUGGAAGAAACAUUUGUGUCCAGAGAAGUUUUCCAUAAGUAUAAAGUGCAUGCAUUUAUAAUUAUCACUUAUGACAGGAUAAAUUUGAACAUGACUUUAAAAUAUUAAAGAAUGCAGAAUCUUGUGAA
This is a non-coding RNA of Ictidomys tridecemlineatus (thirteen-lined ground squirrel), 6895 nucleotides long. Lineage: Eukaryota; Metazoa; Chordata; Mammalia; Rodentia; Sciuridae. The record is from RefSeq and is a predicted model, not a curated record.